UCAUCCGUGCCGUCGUGCCGAUCCCGUUUAUUUUCGUUAAUUUUCAUUCAGUUGCUGCCGAUUUGGACUAUUCUCCUCUUCCGCGGUAAUCUUCUAAUCGCGAGUUGAGCUGUAGACGGCUGAAGUUUCCUGGUUUUAUGUCCGUGGAUGCAUUCCGAUCCACCAAGUCACCACCUUUGCUAGCCAGAAUCAUGCGACGUCUUCAACGGCUGGUGGAGGGACUCGUCUUCUCCAAUUGUUUAUCAGGAUUCGCCAUAUAUAAGGUCAUGAACACAAAUACCUACGACGAUUUCUAUCUGAAGCACGAUAUUCUUCGCAAGAAUCCUAUAAAAGAGCUUGUAGGUAUCCCAUCACCCAUGUCAAAAGCACAAUAGACUGCAGCGCGAUUAUAACAUCUCAGAUUUAGAGAAGAAGGCUCAAUCUAUCGAGUGGUCCUGUGUAGAGUGCAUCGCUUAGGAAAGGACCUAUCGUAUUAGCCAAUUGGUAUCAUGGAGUACAGGAAGAGAAGGAUAAGUUUCGAGCGGAGGGUAAAGAAAAUAUUUUCAGGAUUCAGGAUGAAAAUCGCAAGACGUUCAAGAAAUCAAGAAAACGGAGUCUAAGUACAAAAUUGAAAAUUUAUUCGCGAUAAAAAAACCCUUUCGCCAGGUUAUAAUUAAUGAAGUUAGGACAUGGUCGAAAAAGUAGUAGAUGAUGAAGGUCUGAAUAAAACAAUUACUGGGUCGAAUGAAUUGUCAGAAUAGCCGAAUGUAGGAUUAGCAUCCCUUUUUUCGACAGUUCAGAUACUCUGUUAAAUUACAUAUUUCAUUAGC
Molecule: long non-coding RNA, 809 nt
Organism: Drosophila subpulchrella
Lineage: Eukaryota; Metazoa; Arthropoda; Insecta; Diptera; Drosophilidae
Exons: 3
Source: RefSeq, a predicted model, not a curated record